CCCUUAGACACUCUAGGCGGCACGCGCGCUACAAUGGGUAGAAGACUGUGUUACUGCCCUCGAAAGAGGGGGUGAAUCACGAAUUCUGACCCGUGAAUGGGAUAGUUUGUUGCAAUUUUCGGACUUGAACUAGGAAUCCCUUGUAAGCAUGCUCAAGAAUAGUAUGCUGAAUACGUCCCUGCCGUUUGUACACACCGCCCGUCGUACCUACCGAUUGGAUGGUCCGGUGAAGCCUCGGGAUUGUGGUUCUUGCCGCUUUAUUGUGGCGUGACCGCGAGAACUUGUCUAAACCUUAUCAUCUAGAGGAAGGUGAAGUCGUAACA
Molecule: ribosomal RNA, 323 nt
Filed under: uncultured eukaryote
Lineage: Eukaryota
Description: partial 18S ribosomal RNA
Rfam family: Eukaryotic small subunit ribosomal RNA
Source: RNAcentral